UACGUAGGGGGCAAGCGUUGUCCGGAUUUAUUGGGCGUAAAGCGCACGUAGGCGGGUCGUUAAGUCAGGGGUGAAAUCCCGGAGCUCAACUCCGGAACUGCCUUUGAUACUGGCGACCUUGAGGCUGGAAGAGGUUAGUGGAAUUCCCAGUGUAGAGGUGAAAUUCGUAGAUAUUGGGAAGAACACCAGUGGCGAAGGCGGCUAACUGGUCCAGAUCUGACGCUGAGGUGCGAAAGCGUGGGGAGCAAACAGG
RNAcentral lists this ribosomal RNA (253 nucleotides) under uncultured bacterium. Its description in RNAcentral is "partial 16S ribosomal RNA". It matches the Rfam family "Bacterial small subunit ribosomal RNA", at positions 524 to 776 of the family's 1533-position model. The record is from RNAcentral.